AAAGGAAUCGUCCUCCCUCAUGUUAAACGGCACCAACCGCCUCUGAUGCUGACCUUAUACUUCACAGAGAGAAUGUUGUUUCAUAAAUGAAUGAUUCACUCUAGCUAAUCAGUAGUUAGAAAUACAGUCAAAUACUUGGCCUCCAGAAGCAUAUCGUCCCUCCUAUAUGUAGUUAUCUGUAUACAGGAUGUUCUUGCCCUCAAUAAUCACAUCGUAAAUCAAAGUGAGAAAGACAGAAGGUUUCAUAAGAGGAGAGGACAGAGAAUGUGAGGAUUGUAGAGGUUGUUGGAGAGGUUAUAUUUCACCGGCGUUAUUUAAUGAAAAGUCUGUUUCUGUUUGCUGUAGCGGAGGUGAGAAUGCACAGUGGUGAGUUAACAGGUUAGUGAAACAUUAGCUGAUGUUUGGCUAGCAGGUCAGAGAUCUCAGGUGAGAGGUAGCAGGGUGGUAGCUGAUGUUUGGCUAGCAGGGUGGUAGCUGAUGUUUGGCUAGCAGGGUGGUAGCUGAUGUUUGGCUAGCAGGGUGGUAGCUGAUGUUUAACUAGCAGGGUGGUAGGCUGAUGUUUAGCUAGCAGGGUGGUAGCUGAUGUUUAGCUAGCAGGUCAGAGAUCUCAGGUGAGAGGUAGCAGGGUGGUAGCUGAUGUUUAGCUAGCAGGGUGGUAGCUGAUGUUUGGCUAGCAGGGUGGUAGCUGAUGUUUAGCUAGCAGGGUGGUAGGCUGAUGUUUAGCUAGCAGGGUGGUAGCUGAUGUUUAGCUAGCAGGGUGGUAGCUGAUGUUUAGCUAGCAGGUCAGAGAUCUCAGGUGAGAGGUAGCAGGGUGGUAGCUGAUGUUUGGCUAGCAGGGUGGUAGCUGAUGUUUGGCUAGCAGGUCAGAGAGCUCAGGUGAGAGGUAGCAGGGUGGUAGCUGAAGAUGGAACCUCAGACUUCACAGGCAUCUUGGACUUAACCUAGCCAGCUGGGACUAGUCUGGACCACCUGUUUGGGUUUGGAGUAGUAACUUGGACUUAACCUAGCCAGCUGGGACUGGUCUAGACCACCUGUUUGGGUUUGGGGUAGUAACUUGGACUUAACCUAGCCAGCUGGGACUGGUCUAGACCACCUGUUUGGGUGUGGAGUAGUAACUUGGGCCUAGCCAGCUGGGACUAGUCUGGACCACCUGUUUGGGUUUGGAGUAGUAACUUGGACUUAACCUAGCCAGCUGGGACUGGUCUGGACCACCUGUUUGGGUUUGGAGUAGUAACUUGGACUUAACCUAGCCGGCUGGGACUGGUCUAGUAGUAAGGUUUGAGAUCACGGAGUUAACCCCACUCUUCUGAGUUAAAUAACUGGCAUUGGGAAGACCCCUACAUCAUGUGUUAUGUGACUUGUCCUGAUUCCAGGUCUCUCUUUACUGCUGGGUGUGUGGUGUGGACAGCGACACCCUACCUGUCUGUCUACGUUGUGUGUGACUCAGGAAGUGUGAACGUCAUGCGUCAGUGUGCAGGUACAGAUAGAGGAGGAGUGUUUAGUAAGUCAUCUGAUAGACUAAAUGGUUUACACUGGUUAUGGAGUGGAGCUCUGCCCUGAGACAGACAUACUUUACACUGGUUAUGGAGUGGAGCUCUGCCCUGAGACAGACAUACUUUACACUGGUUAUGGAGUGGAGCUCUGCCCUGAGAC
Molecule: long non-coding RNA, 1653 nt
Filed under: Salmo salar (Atlantic salmon)
Lineage: Eukaryota; Metazoa; Chordata; Actinopteri; Salmoniformes; Salmonidae
Description: lncRNA (ENSSSAG00000120252.1)
Source: RNAcentral